RNAcentral lists this long non-coding RNA (276 nucleotides) under Mytilus galloprovincialis (Mediterranean mussel). The record is from RNAcentral. Lineage: Eukaryota; Metazoa; Mollusca; Bivalvia; Mytilida; Mytilidae.
GCCGUAUUCCGUUACUUUGGAGUGUCUUUUUUGUCAGAUAAAAAGAAAAAAGUUUCAUUAGCCUCUUACAUAUGUCGCAGUUUCCAAUUUUAUCUCCAUCCAGAAUAAACAAUCCGUAGCACAAUAAAGAGAAAACCUUCCAUAGUAUCCCCAUAUAAUUCUACUACGAACGAUAUGUAAUAAUCUUGUUAAAAAAAUAAUAUACUAAUUAAAACCAUUUCCAAAGCUGGUACAAUAAGAGGAUGUUUCAGAAACCAUGUAUUGUUUGUUUUCGAA